GGAGUUGGUCCCAAGGGUUGGGCUGUUCGCCCAUUAAAGCGGUACGCGAGCUGGGUUCAGAACGUCGUGAGACAGUUCGGUCCCUAUCCUCUGUGCGCGCAGGAAAUUUGAGAAGGGCCGUCCCUAGUACGAGAGGACCGGGAUGGACGAACCUCUGGUGUGCCAGUUGUACCGCCAGGUGCAUGGCUGGUUGGCUACGUUCGGAAGGGAUAACCGCUGAAAGCAUCUAAGCGGGAAGCCUGCUUCAAGAUGAGAUUUCCACGCCCCCCAGUGGGGUGAGAGGCCCCCGCCAGACUAGCGGGUUGAUAGGCCAGAGGUGGAAGCACAGCAAUGUGCUCGUGAGCCGACUGGUACUAAUGGGCCAACACUAAACAAC
This 376-nucleotide ribosomal RNA is filed under the name Actinomyces sp. RNAcentral describes it as "partial 23S ribosomal RNA". It matches the Rfam family "Bacterial large subunit ribosomal RNA", at positions 2555 to 2925 of the family's 2925-position model. The record is from RNAcentral. Lineage: Bacteria; Bacillati; Actinomycetota; Actinomycetes; Actinomycetales; Actinomycetaceae.